AAAUUGAAGAGUUUGAUCAUGGCUCAGAUUGAACGCUGGCGGCAGGCCUAACACAUGCAAGUCGAACGGUAACAGGAAGCAGCUUGCUGCUUCGCUGACGAGUGGCGGACGGGUGAGUAAUGUCUGGGAAACUGCCUGAUGGAGGGGGAUAACUACUGGAAACGGUGGCUAAUACCGCAUAACGUCGCAAGACCAAAGAGGGGGACCUUCGGGCCUCUUGCCAUCAGAUGUGCCCAGAUGGGAUUAGCUAGUUGGUGAGGUAACGGCUCACCAAGGCGACGAUCCCUAGCUGGUCUGAGAGGAUGACCAGCCACACUGGAACUGAGACACGGUCCAGACUCCUACGGGAGGCAGCAGUGGGGAAUAUUGCACAAUGGGCGCAAGCCUGAUGCAGCCAUGCCGCGUGUAUGAAGAAGGCCUUCGGGUUGUAAAGUACUUUCAGCGGGGAGGAAGGUGUUGUGGUUAAU
Molecule: ribosomal RNA, 467 nt
Filed under: Salmonella enterica
Lineage: Bacteria; Pseudomonadati; Pseudomonadota; Gammaproteobacteria; Enterobacterales; Enterobacteriaceae
Description: bacterial SSU rRNA
Rfam family: Bacterial small subunit ribosomal RNA
Source: RNAcentral